RNAcentral lists this ribosomal RNA (579 nucleotides) under Naganishia albida. RNAcentral's name for it is "eukaryotic LSU rRNA". It matches the Rfam family "Eukaryotic large subunit ribosomal RNA", at positions 69 to 657 of the family's 3401-position model. Lineage: Eukaryota; Fungi; Basidiomycota; Tremellomycetes; Filobasidiales; Filobasidiaceae. The record is from RNAcentral.
CACGGAUCCCUAGUACGGCGAGUGAGCGGGAAGAGCUCAAAUUUGAAAUCUGGUAGCCUUCGGUUGCCCGAGUUGUAAUCUAGAGAAGUGUUUUCCGUGCCGGCCCAUGUACAAGUCCCUUGGAACAGGGCGUCAUAGAGGGUGAGAAUCCCGUCCUUGACAUGGACCCCCGGUGCUUUGUGAUACACUUUCAACGAGUCGAGUUGUUUGGGAAUGCAGCUCAAAAUGGGUGGUGAAUUCCAUCUAAAGCUAAAUAUUGGCGAGAGACCGAUAGCGAACAAGUACCGUGAGGGAAAGAUGAAAAGCACUUUGGAAAGAGAGUUAAACAGUACGUGAAAUUGUUGAAAGGGAAACGAUUGAAGUCAGUCAUGCUCUUGGGACUUACCUCCCUUGAGUGGGGUCAACAUCAGUUUUGAUCGAUGGAUAAAGGCACGGGGAAGGUAGCACUCUCGGGUGAACUUAUAGCCUCGCGUCAUAUACAUUGAUUGGGACUGAGGAACGCAGCAUGCCUUAUGGCCGGGAUUCGUCCACGUACAUGCUUAGGAUGUUGACAUAAUGGCUUUAAACGACCCGUCUUAA